This is a long non-coding RNA of Mytilus trossulus (common blue mussel), 597 nucleotides long. RefSeq lists it as uncharacterized. The record is from RefSeq and is a predicted model, not a curated record. NCBI's taxonomy places the organism in Eukaryota, Metazoa, Mollusca, Bivalvia, Mytilida, Mytilidae. The transcript has 2 exons.
UUUGAUGCACGACACACCUAGAUAUUCGGUUUUUUUUUAUAUUUUCUUAACUAAUUGGCUUUUUCUGACAUUAAUUGAACAUUUUCAAUUGCCUCAAGCUAUAAAACAAUGUAACAUUAUGCGUAAUUUUCAUAACAAAUUUCAAUGAAAUAACUGGAUUUAUCUUCUGAAUGUUGUGAGCGGAAGAACAAUCAGAAUGAGAAUACUGUCAUUUUAUCGACUAACACUUGCAUCUUUGUUAUUAGUCCUAUGCUAUUCACAAAAAUACACAGAAAGAAGCAAACUACUUAAACCUGCCGAACAUGAAAAUGACCAACAAAAAAUGUCUGCUGUAUUGACAAACAUGUUGUGUGCUAUGUGCACCAUUAUGAAGGACACGGGAAAGGAAAAAUGCAUCCCGAAAUUCUGUUUAUUCGGCAUUCAAAAGGGAUUAAAAAAAACCAGCAGGACUGCAGUUACCAUAUUAACAGAGUAAAGUCUGCAUUAGAGACCAUUCUUUUAUAUAACUUAUGCAUGGUGAUAAGAAGCGGAGAGUGUGUGUUCAUUAGCAAAAUUGAAAUAAUGUCAAAACCUUGCAAUAAAAUAAUGUUAAUUUCA